CGAAGGAUCCAAGCGUUAUCCGGAUUUAUUGGGUUUAAAGGGUGCGUAGGCGGCUUAUUAAGUCAGUGGUGAAAGCCUGCAGCUUAACUGCAGAACUGCCAUUGAUACUGAUGAGCUUGAGUAUAGUUGAGGUGGGCGGAAUGUGUCAUGUAGCGGUGAAAUGCUUAGAUAUGACACAGAACACCGAUUGCGAAGGCAGCUCGCUAAACUAUAACUGACGCUGAGGCACGAAAGCGUGGGGAGCGAACAGGAUUAGAUACCCUGGUAGUCCACGCCCUAAACGUUGAUAACUCGAUGUGUGCGAUAUACAGUACGCGUCUAAGCGAAAGCAUUAAGUUAUCCACCUGGGAAGUACGGUCGCAAGAUUAG
RNAcentral lists this ribosomal RNA (369 nucleotides) under uncultured organism. Its description in RNAcentral is "bacterial SSU rRNA". It matches the Rfam family "Bacterial small subunit ribosomal RNA", at positions 526 to 897 of the family's 1533-position model. The record is from RNAcentral.